RNAcentral lists this ribosomal RNA (465 nucleotides) under Vreelandella stevensii. Its description in RNAcentral is "partial 16S ribosomal RNA". It matches the Rfam family "Bacterial small subunit ribosomal RNA", at positions 339 to 795 of the family's 1533-position model. Lineage: Bacteria; Pseudomonadati; Pseudomonadota; Gammaproteobacteria; Oceanospirillales; Halomonadaceae. The record is from RNAcentral.
CUACGGGCGGGCAGCAGUGGGGAAUAUUGGACAAUGGGCGAAAGCCUGAUCCAGCCAUGCCGCGUGUGUGAAGAAGGCCUUCGGGUUGUAAAGCACUUUCAGUGGGGAAGAAAGCCUUGGGGCUAAUACCCUCGAGGAAGGACAUCACCCACAGAAGAAGCACCGGCUAACUCCGUGCCAGCAGCCGCGGUAAUACGGAGGGUGCGAGCGUUAAUCGGAAUUACUGGGCGUAAAGCGCGCGUAGGCGGUCUGAUAAGCCGGUUGUGAAAGCCCCGGGCUCAACCUGGGAACGGCAUCCGGAACUGUCAGGCUAGAGUGCAGGAGAGGAAGGUAGAAUUCCCGGUGUAGCGGUGAAAUGCGUAGAGAUCGGGAGGAAUACCAGUGGCGAAGGCGGCCUUCUGGACUGACACUGACGCUGAGGUGCGAAAGCGUGGGUAGCAAACAGGAUUAGAUACCCCUGUAGUC